RNAcentral lists this ribosomal RNA (1290 nucleotides) under metagenome. RNAcentral describes it as "bacterial LSU rRNA". It matches the Rfam family "Bacterial large subunit ribosomal RNA", at positions 1608 to 2925 of the family's 2925-position model. The record is from RNAcentral.
UCGAGAAAAACUCAAAGGAAUACUAAGGCGCCCGUACCGGAAACCGACACAGGUGGGUGGGCAUGAAUGUGCCAAGGCGCGUGAGUGAAACCUCGUUAAGGAACUCGCAAUCUAGCCCCGUAACUUCGGAAGAAGGGGUGCCCACUUUUAGUGGGUCGCAGUGAAAUGGGUGUACCGACUGUUUAUCAAAAACACAGCACUCUGCUAAGUCGUAAGACAACGUAUAGGGUGUGACACGUGACCAAUGCGGAAAGAUUACGGUAAGUGGUUAGCGCAAGCGAAGCUACGAGCCCAAGUCCCCGUGAAUGUCGGCCGUAACGAUAACGGUCCUAAGGUAGCGAAAUUCCUUGUCGGGUAAGUUCCGACCUGCACGAAUCGUGUAACGAGUGCACCGCUGUCUCAACGAGGAGCUCAGCGAAGUUGUAAUGGCGGUGAAGAUGCCGCCUACCCGCAGCAGGACGGAAAGACCCUAUGCACCUUUACUGUACGCUGUUACUGUGUUUUCGAUUUUCAUGCUUAGCGUAAGUGGGAGACUUUGAAGCCAUUCUUUCGGGGAUGGCCGAGUCGUCAAUGAAACACCACCCUUGGAAAUUGGAAACUCUAACCCUCGCCCAUCAACUGGGGAGGGGACACUGGCAGCCGGUCAGUUUUACUGGGGCGGUAUCCUCCCAAAGAGUAACGGAGGAGUACGAAGUUUGGCUCAACCUGGUUGGCAAUCAGGUGACGAGUACAUGGAUAUAAGCCAGACUAACUGUGAGACCUACAAGUCGAGCAGAUGCGAAAGCAGGUCCAAGUGAUCCGGUGUUGAAAGUGGAAUCGCCAUCGCUCAACGGACAAAAGGUACGCUAGGGAUAACAGGCUGAUCGAGUCCAAGAGCUCAUAUCGACGACUCGGUUUGGCACCUCGAUGUCGGCUCAUCACAUCCUGGGGCUGGAGAAGGUCCCAAGGGUCCGGCUGUUCGCCGGUUAAAGUGGUACGCGAGCUGGGUUCAGAACGUCGCGAGACAGUUCGGUCCUUAUCCGCUGUGGGCGCAGGAAAGUUGAGGGGUUUAAACCUUAGUACGAGAGGACCGGGUUUAACGAACCUCUGGUGUUCCAGUUGUCGUGUCAACGGCAGUGCUGGGCAGCUACGUUCGGAAGAGAUAAGCGCUGAAAGCAUCUAAGCGCCAAGCUCCUCCCAAGAUUGACUUUCCCUGAAGAGUCGUGGUAGACCACCACGUUGAUAGGCCAUAGGUAUAAGCGCAGUAAUGCGUUGAGCUUAGUGGUACUAAUAACUCGUCCGGCUUGAUCG